GUAGAGAGAUGCAGAGGAGCAGAACAUGGUGAUGAUGAUGGUGAUAGUGAUGAUGAUGGUGAUAGUGAUGAUGAUGGUGAUAGUGAUGAUGAUAUUGAUAGUGAUAGUGAUGAUGAUAGUGGUGAUGUGUGUUUAGUCUUCUCUGCUCUAAUGGACCAAAGCUCCCAGUGACUCCCUGUGGACUCUGCUGCUGGAGCUGAUCAGGACUCUCACAGGAAGGAACUCUACUAGGGCUGACCCCAUUUAGUCGACUGGUUGAUUGUUUGGUCGCUAGGCUGUUGGUCGACUGAGAUUUCUUUAGUGGAACAGUUGCAAAUUGUUCGUUUUUUUGCACGGUGCACACGCCAUCUGUCUGAUUUGCUCUUAUCUCCGUAGACUAAUCCAUUAAGGAGAUGAUGCCACAGUCCUUCAAAUACAUGCUACUGAAAUUGGAUAUGUUUCUAUUAUAUAAGAAUAACGGUGCAACACUAAUAAAAAUUAUAUUAUUUCAUAUCAAAUGCGCUUUCACCCACGUUGGUAGUUGUCGCUGUCCGCGGUCCUGAAAGAUGAUCUACAAUGCGCCAUUGAAUUGGCGCCUUUCCUAUAUGUUGCUAUGUGCAUAAUAGGAAGUUAACCAGCGUAUUGGUUUUGAGAACAAUGUGGCGGAGGCAGCAUAGAAGUGAGGAGACGUGGAAACAGCCCUUGCCUUAAUUGUGAAAGAAAGGUGAGGAGAGAGGAAACCCCAAUUUAAUAAGGUCCGUAAUCAACAGCCCAACUGUUAAACGUUCCUGACUUUGUAAAUCAUCCAUAUAUAUCUCCAGAAAUAAGACAGAUCCUGCUUGUGUUGCCUGGUUGAGUGUUUAAUAGCCUACUGAUUCCAAGCGUUGUGCAACUGCAACAUGUCGGAUAAAACGGUUUCACAAAUGAGGAUGUUUUUAAUAUUUGCUAUGCUGUAAUAAAGGCAUUACUAUUUAUUUUUCGUUAGAAAAGACUGGUAUUACUUAUACUUGAUUUAGUGUUGCUUACUCCGUUUCAAAUGGGCAGAAAAAUUAUAUUGUAAUCUAACAGCACCUGUUUUGUCGCACAAUAUGCACGCAGCUCUCACGCCGACACCCUCCUUUAUCUUGAUCUCCUUCUCACUGUUAUUAUUAAAGUUAUUAUUGUGAUCAUCAUUAUAAUAAGUCAUGUUGUUAUCAUUAGUAGGCUUCGUAGAGUAGUAGCCUUGUAUAACCAGCAUUGAGCUGAAGGCUUAAGAGCGCGUCCUGUUAAUACCGUAACUUACUUACUGGCCAGUAUUUCAAUAUAUACAUUACUGUAUCAAUCGAUCAAUCAUUUGUUCAUGUCUUCACACAGACCAGUCAUUCAUGCGUUGAAAUGCAAUCAAGCGUUUUAGUUUUAAAACUAAAUAAGAAAGGGAGAAUUUAAUAAUUAGCCUAAACAGUAAAUAAACCACAAUCCAGGAAUGCAUGCAGCUGUUUUUGGUCUUUGCUAUUGUAGUGGUGAUUCCCUAUGAUCAGCCUCUGACACAGGAGUGAGCUGUACAAAACACAUCCACAAGAAUCAGCGGGAUGAUCUGCAGGACCAGAGGUUGCUAGCACUUAGCCCCAUCUCAGCCUAUAACAAGGUCAGCUCUGUAGUCGCUUAGCCCCAUCUCAGCCUAUAACAAGUACAGCUCUGUAGUCACUUAGCCCCAUCUCAGCCUAUAACAAGUACAGCUCUGUAGUCACUUAGCCCCAUCUCAGCCUAUAACAAGGUCAGCUCUGUAGUCACUUAGCCCCAUCUCAGCCUAUAACAAGUACAGCUCUGUAGUCACUUAGCCCCAUCUCAGCCUAUAACAAGUACAGCUCUGUAGUCACUUAGCCCCAUCUCAGCCUAUAACAAGUACAGCUCUGUAGUCACUUAGCCCCAUCUCAGCCUAUAACAAGUACAGCUCUGUAGUCACUUAGCCCCAUCUCAGCCUAUAACAAGUACAGCUCUGUAGUCACUUAGCCCCAUCUCAGCCUAUAACAAGGUCAGCUCUGUAGUCACUUAUCCCCAUCUCAGCCUAUAACAAGUACAGCUCUGUAGUCACUUAGCCCCAUCUCAGCCUACAACAAGUACAGCUCUGUAGUGACUUAGCCCCAUCUCAGCCUAUAACAAGUACAGCUCUGUAGUCACUUAGCCCCAUCUCAGCCUAUAACAAGCACAGCUCUGUAGUCUCUUAGCCCCAUCUCAGCCUAUAACAAGGUCAGCUCUGUAGUCUCUUAGCCCCAUCUCAGCCUAUAACAAGGUCAGCUCUGAAGUCGUCCAAGGCAGCAUCCUGUAGCAUGGAGCGUGUCGGUCCUGCAUGUCUCAUGUAGAUGGGGUGGGCAGUAACAGCAGGGCAGCCAAUCUUUCCCGGGUUGUCACCACCUUCUCCAAAGGGACCGCCAGAGACCCACACCAAUCGGGUCCCAGCGGUGUGGGGUCCAUCUACAACACUGUCGUCAUCAGUGGGGGCAAUGGCCUGUGGAGCAUCGCUGCCAAUCAGCAACUCUACGCCGGCCCCAAUACGACCCUGCUGUACAUAGUCAGACAACAUACACGCAUGCCCCUGUUUCACACAGUCCACAAUUUUGAGUCUUUUUUUUCAUUAUACAUCUGUCAAUAUCUUAAAUGUUCUGCGGAUAUCUUCAGUAAACAUCUUCUCAGAGCAGUUGUUCUGGGAGAGAACGUUGUUCUCCACGUCCUUUACAGUCCGUCUUCAUCUCACGCAGCCCAUUCAGCAGAAUGUUUAUUCAACGUUCAGUGUUAAGUGUUAAGAUAAUACAGAGCCCAAUACUCUGUUCUAAUGCUCAGAAAUGAAGUGUUGACAUAUCGGAGAGCAUUUCCCUAUGAAACACUGGCUCCACUUCCUAUUCCACAGCUACAAUUGACGAAACCGUGUUCAACUCGCACCGCGCAGCACAAGAGUGAAGAUCACGUACCAAUGUCCUUUUGGUGAGCGACGGCGCGGAGGAUUUGGCUCCUGGAUUCUUCUCGUUUCUCCGGGAAAUGUUUGCCACGACCCUUGUUGGUUGUCGUAGGCACAGCAGGAGUGAUUCCAAUAAUCUGACGUGCUGCAUGCAAAGAUCCAUUAGUCCAGUUUACAACGAGAGUUAAGUUCUUACUGUUGUAGUGGCGAUUCCCUAUGAUCAGCCUCUGACACAGGAGAGAGCUGUACACAACGCGUCCACGAGAAUCAGCUUUCCCAAACGUUACUCUUUUAGGGUGAAGUUCCUAUUUAUUGCUCAUAUCUAAUAUAAGUAGCUCUAAUACACAUGUUCCUGUAGAAAAGGUGCAGAGAGAUGCUUCUUUCAGCUGUCUGUGAUACGGUAACAACUGUAUGUCGUCUACUCUCUCCUGUACUAACCCUUCCUGGUCACCUGUCCUAGCUAUACACAUGUGACCAGUGACCCAUGACCCCAACAUAUAGUCCCCUCUAUUGUACAAAACAGGUUAAAAUAGCCCUUGACAGACAACAUACACACAACACAUAAACAGGACAAAACGGCUCCUACAGCUGUAAUAAAGGCUUUAUAUUUAUAUAUAUUAGACUCUCUGGUACACUUAUCACUUAUUUAGUGUUGUUUACACUGUUCCACACGGUCAGAAAACAUGAUAUUGUAAUGUAACAGCACCUGUUUGUCACCCGUCACACAGACCCUCCUUUUAUGUGAUCUCCAGUAGUUUCCCCCAUCUGACUUCCCGUUUCCCUCCUGAGCAACCAGUAAACAUUCCCCGUUUCCAGUUUAUUUUUUCCCGUCCUCCGCAUCCUUUUAGUUGUGUUGCGGUGUUGGGUGUUUGUUCUAACCAGUGUGUUGAUGUGAUUAUGAAAGGCUAUAGAUCCGGCCCUAUUGGUCACGUGCAUGCGAUGCGUACACGCGUCACGUGAAGAGAGCGAGGGUUGAGGAACAGGGAAUGUUUUUCCUAAACAAAUUAGGGAUUUCGGUUUCAACUUCUCCGAGUCCGAGAAACAAGUUAGAAACUACACGGCUGUAAUUGUGUAGCAGCUUCAGCGCGGACAACGACGAUAAACGCUUGCUGUGGUGCCUGUUCGCUGCAGCAGGGAGGAGAGAGCGACAACGUGCGCCAGUCACAGGCACUCGCUGUCAUUUUUAACACAGCGUAGACCUCCUGAGUCAUUUGUUUGUCAAACAGUAUUUCAUCAAACAGUCUAUAUAUAGAAAAAUACACGUUUUGACAAAGAACAGACGACUCUCGUCGACCAAGAUUUUGUUUUGUCAGGAGGCAGUCCUACUCUACACACUCACACACACCCACCCACACACUCAGGAUCUGGGGAUAACACACACAGACUUUAUUGCUCCAGUAGACUCACGUUAUUGAGAGAUCAUCUUCCUCAUGUGAGUCUCUCCAUCUCUCUCCUGUUGUUCCUGACUGAAAAGAGGAUCCUCUCUCACUUCCUCUAUUUAUCUCUGACAUCAUCACUAGAGGACAGUCUCCAUUUAUCAACAGGGUUUUAUUCAUUGACACACCUCACUGAAAACUACAGUGUUAUAUAACAUCCAUUAGUUAGAAUAACACUACUGUACUGUACACGACGUGCAUCUUCAACACAGUAGAUAGAACCAAGCCAACAUCAGCUGGUGUAGAAUAGAUCCACACUCUCCUGAGUCUCCUCAUCAACUCUCUCUGUCUCCGUGGUGAAGGUGUGACAUCAUCACACUGUAGAGGUCUGAGCUGAUCUGUUUUAUUCCAGUCUGGUUGAACAACUAACACAUGAUGAUAGAGAUCCCACUGGCAGACUGAAUCUGGAGGACAGAUGGAGCCAUUGAUUUACUGUGUUGGUGUUUGUGUGUGUGUGUGUGUGUUAUCCACACAGCCCAGCUGUGUGUGCCCCUCUACAGUGGUUCCUCGUUUAAAAGUAGCUUCAUACUGCAGCACAGCUUGCAGGGUGCUGGGGUACGGUACAGCAUGUCACAGUGCUUGACGUCAGAGUAUUCUGCUGUCACCCGUUGUUGCCGUUAAUGCUCGUUGAAACGUCCAGCGUGCGUCUUUGAAACCUCCAGCGGGCGUCUUUGAAACCUCCAGCGUGCGUCUUUGAAACCUCCAGCGGGCAUCUUUGAAACCUCCAGCGUGCGUCUUUGAAACGUCCAGCGUGCGUCUUUGAAACCUCCAGCGUGCGUCUUUGAAACCUCCAGCGUGCGUCUUUGAAACGUCCAGCGUGCGUCUUUGAAACCUCCAGCGUGCGUCUUUGAAACCUCCAGCGGGCAUCUUUGAAACCACCAGUGGGCAUCUUUGAGGGCGUCUUCAUAAAGCUUUGCUUACUUUCCCAAGUAAUCCUACAGAGGUCCAUGCCUGCCAGACGUUUUGAUCCCUAUACCCUAUCAGAGGUCCAUGCAGGCCAGACGUUUUGAUCCCUAUACCCUAUCAGAGGUCCAUGCAGGCCAGACGUUUUGAUUCCUAUACCCUAUCAGAGGUCCAUGCAGGCCAGACGUUUUGAUUCCUAUACCCUAUCAGAGGUCCAUGCAGGCCAGACGUUUUGAUUCCUAUACCCUAUCAGAGGUCCAUGCAGGCCAGACGUUUUGAUUCCUAUACCCUAUCAGAGGUCCAUGCAGGCCAGACGUUUUGAUUCCUAUACCCUAUCAGAGGUCCAUGCAGGCCAGACGUUUUGAUCCCUAUACCCU
Long non-coding RNA from Oncorhynchus keta (chum salmon), 5627 nucleotides. RefSeq lists it as uncharacterized. The transcript is spliced from 3 exons. The record is from RefSeq and is a predicted model, not a curated record. NCBI's taxonomy places the organism in Eukaryota, Metazoa, Chordata, Actinopteri, Salmoniformes, Salmonidae.